Molecule: ribosomal RNA, 1476 nt
Filed under: Klebsiella pneumoniae
Lineage: Bacteria; Pseudomonadati; Pseudomonadota; Gammaproteobacteria; Enterobacterales; Enterobacteriaceae
Description: bacterial SSU rRNA
Rfam family: Bacterial small subunit ribosomal RNA
Source: RNAcentral
GGCUCAGAUUGAACGCUGGCGGCAGGCCUAACACAUGCAAGUCGAGCGGUAGCACAGAGAGCUUGCUCUCGGGUGACGAGCGGCGGACGGGUGAGUAAUGUCUGGGAAACUGCCUGAUGGAGGGGGAUAACUACUGGAAACGGUAGCUAAUACCGCAUAACGUCGCAAGACCAAAGUGGGGGACCUUCGGGCCUCAUGCCAUCAGAUGUGCCCAGAUGGGAUUAGCUAGUAGGUGGGGUAACGGCUCACCUAGGCGACGAUCCCUAGCUGGUCUGAGAGGAUGACCAGCCACACUGGAACUGAGACACGGUCCAGACUCCUACGGGAGGCAGCAGUGGGGAAUAUUGCACAAUGGGCGCAAGCCUGAUGCAGCCAUGCCGCGUGUGUGAAGAAGGCCUUCGGGUUGUAAAGCACUUUCAGCGGGGAGGAAGGCGUUAAGGUUAAUAACCUUGGCGAUUGACGUUACCCGCAGAAGAAGCACCGGCUAACUCCGUGCCAGCAGCCGCGGUAAUACGGAGGGUGCAAGCGUUAAUCGGAAUUACUGGGCGUAAAGCGCACGCAGGCGGUCUGUCAAGUCGGAUGUGAAAUCCCCGGGCUCAACCUGGGAACUGCAUUCGAAACUGGCAGGCUAGAGUCUUGUAGAGGGGGGUAGAAUUCCAGGUGUAGCGGUGAAAUGCGUAGAGAUCUGGAGGAAUACCGGUGGCGAAGGCGGCCCCCUGGACAAAGACUGACGCUCAGGUGCGAAAGCGUGGGGAGCAAACAGGAUUAGAUACCCUGGUAGUCCACGCCGUAAACGAUGUCGAUUUGGAGGUUGUGCCCUUGAGGCGUGGCUUCCGGAGCUAACGCGUUAAAUCGACCGCCUGGGGAGUACGGCCGCAAGGUUAAAACUCAAAUGAAUUGACGGGGGCCCGCACAAGCGGUGGAGCAUGUGGUUUAAUUCGAUGCAACGCGAAGAACCUUACCUGGUCUUGACAUCCACAGAACUUUCCAGAGAUGGAUUGGUGCCUUCGGGAACUGUGAGACAGGUGCUGCAUGGCUGUCGUCAGCUCGUGUUGUGAAAUGUUGGGUUAAGUCCCGCAACGAGCGCAACCCUUAUCCUUUGUUGCCAGCGGUCCGGCCGGGAACUCAAAGGAGACUGCCAGUGAUAAACUGGAGGAAGGUGGGGAUGACGUCAAGUCAUCAUGGCCCUUACGACCAGGGCUACACACGUGCUACAAUGGCAUAUACAAAGAGAAGCGACCUCGCGAGAGCAAGCGGACCUCAUAAAGUAUGUCGUAGUCCGGAUUGGAGUCUGCAACUCGACUCCAUGAAGUCGGAAUCGCUAGUAAUCGUAGAUCAGAAUGCUACGGUGAAUACGUUCCCGGGCCUUGUACACACCGCCCGUCACACCAUGGGAGUGGGUUGCAAAAGAAGUAGGUAGCUUAACCUUCGGGAGGGCGCUUACCACUUUGUGAUUCAUGACUGGGGUGAAGUCGU